This 798-nucleotide ribosomal RNA is filed under the name uncultured Porphyromonadaceae bacterium. Its description in RNAcentral is "bacterial SSU rRNA". It matches the Rfam family "Bacterial small subunit ribosomal RNA", at positions 8 to 795 of the family's 1533-position model. Lineage: Bacteria; Pseudomonadati; Bacteroidota; Bacteroidia; Bacteroidales; Porphyromonadaceae. The record is from RNAcentral.
AGAGUUUGAUUAUGGCUCAGGAUGAACGCUAGCGAUAGGCCUAACACAUGCAAGUCGAGGGGCAGCACAUGAAGUAGCAAUACGGAUGGUGGCGACCGGCGCACGGGUGAGUAACGCGUAUGCAACCUGCCUACAACAGGGGAAUAACCCGUUGAAAGACGGACUAAUACCCCAUAACACAGGGAUCCCGCAUGGGAAUAUUUGUUAAAGAUUUAUCGGUUGUAGAUGGGCAUGCGUUCCAUUAGCUUGUUGGUGAGGUAACGGCUCACCAAGGCAACGAUGGAUAGGGGAACUGAGAGGUUUAUCCCCCACACUGGUACUGAGACACGGACCAGACUCCUACGGGAGGCAGCAGUGAGGAAUAUUGGUCAAUGGACGCAAGUCUGAACCAGCCACGUCGCGUGAAGGAAGACGGCCCUACGGGUUGUAAACUUCUUUUGUAAGGGAAUAAAGUGUAGUACGUGUACUAUUUUGCAUGUACCUUACGAAUAAGGAUCGGCUAACUCCGUGCCAGCAGCCGCGGUAAUACGGAGGAUCCGAGCGUUAUCCGGAUUUAUUGGGUUUAAAGGGUGCGCAGGCGGGAGAUUAAGUCGGCGGUGAAAUUUUGCAGCUCAACUGUAAAAGUGCCUUCGAAACUGGUUUCCUUGAGUGUGGAUGAAGUAGGCGGAAUUUGUGGUGUAGCGGUGAAAUGCAUAGAUAUCACGAGGAACUCCGAUUGCGCAGGCAGCUUACUAAACCAUAACUGACGCUCACGCACGAAGGCGUGGGGAUCAAACAGGAUUAGAUACCCUGGUAGUC